GAAAAACUCCGGUGGUAUGGGAUGGGCCCGCGUCUGAUUAGGCAGUUGGCGGGGUAACGGCCCACCAAACCGACGAUCAGUAGCCGGCCUGAGAGGGCGACCGGCCACAUUGGGACUGAGACACGGCCCAAACUCCUACGGGAGGCAGCAGUGGGGAAUAUUGCACAAUGGGGGAAACCCUGAUGCAGCGACGCCGCGUGAGCGAAGAAGUAUUUCGGUAUGUAAAGCUCUAUCAGCAGGGAAGAUAAUGACGGUACCUGACUAAGAAGCCCCGGCUAACUACGUGCCAGCAGCCGCGGUAAUACGUAGGGGGCAAGCGUUAUCCGGAUUUACUGGGUGUAAAGGGAGCGUAGACGGCAAGGCAAGUCUGAUGUGAAAACCCAGGGCUUAACCCUGGGACUGCAUUGGAAACUGUCUGGCUCGAGUGCCGGAGAGGUAAGCGGAAUUCCUAGUGUAGCGGUGAAAUGCGUAGAUAUUAGGAAGAACACCAGUGGCGAAGGCGGCUUACUGGACGGUAACUGACGUUGAGGCUCGAAAGCGUGGGGAGCAAACAGGAUUAGAUACCCUGGUAGUCCACGCCGUAA
This 584-nucleotide ribosomal RNA is filed under the name uncultured bacterium. RNAcentral describes it as "bacterial SSU rRNA". It matches the Rfam family "Bacterial small subunit ribosomal RNA", at positions 201 to 805 of the family's 1533-position model. The record is from RNAcentral.